Molecule: ribosomal RNA, 715 nt
Filed under: uncultured bacterium
Lineage: Bacteria
Description: bacterial SSU rRNA
Rfam family: Bacterial small subunit ribosomal RNA
Source: RNAcentral
CUUGCUUCUCUUGAGAGCGGCGGACGGGUGAGUAAUGCCUAGGAAUCUGCCUGGUAGUGGGGGAUAACGUUCGGAAACGGACGCUAAUACCGCAUACGUCCUACGGGAGAAAGCAGGGGACCUUCGGGCCUUGCGCUAUCAGAUGAGCCUAGGUCGGAUUAGCUAGUUGGUGGGGUAAUGGCUCACCAAGGCGACGAUCCGUAACUGGUCUGAGAGGAUGAUCAGUCACACUGGAACUGAGACACGGUCCAGACUCCUACGGGAGGCAGCAGUGGGGAAUAUUGGACAAUGGGCGAAAGCCUGAUCCAGCCAUGCCGCGUGUGUGAAGAAGGUCUUCGGAUUGUAAAGCACUUUAAGUUGGGAGGAAGGGUUGUAGAUUAAUACUCUGCAAUUUUGACGUUACCGACAGAAUAAGCACCGGCUAACUCUGUGCCAGCAGCCGCGGUAAUACAGAGGGUGCAAGCGUUAAUCGGAAUUACUGGGCGUAAAGCGCGCGUAGGUGGUUUAUUAAGUUGGAUGUGAAAUCCCCGGGCUCAACCUGGGAACUGCAUUCAAAACUGACUGACUAGAGUAUGGUAGAGGGUGGUGGAAUUUCCUGUGUAGCGGUGAAAUGCGUAGAUAUAGGAAGGAACACCAGUGGCGAAGCGACCACCUGGGACUAAUACUGACACUGAGGUGCGAAAGCGUGGGGAGCAAACAGGAUUAGAUACCCUGG